RNAcentral lists this long non-coding RNA (3563 nucleotides) under Sus scrofa (pig). Its description in RNAcentral is "lncRNA (ENSSSCG00000053882.1)". Lineage: Eukaryota; Metazoa; Chordata; Mammalia; Artiodactyla; Suidae. The record is from RNAcentral.
AUAGAUUAUAAGCCAUAUCUCCUUAGCACAAUCCAGAAUUUCACUGUCUCUAGACCAGUGUUUAUGUUAAUUUCUCAGCGUUGAGAAUCUCCAUGCUAAGUGCAUGCUAUAAAUAUGGACUCACAGAAAUUUCUCACAAACUUUUUAUUCUUCCCUAGAGUCCAGCCAGGAAUAAGCUCAUCAGAAACAACCAGAUAUUCCUGUCUCUUCUCUGCCCUAGUGGAUAGAUUUUCAUUACUCAUUUCUCUCUGAUCCUUUUUUUGAGGGUCAUUCUUUGCAGAAUAUAGGCUUUAUGUAGUAUUUUCUGAUAUUUUUGAAGUUUGGAAGUACCGGUCCCUAGAUAAUAUUUUUUCAUGUUCCAAUAAAUCACUCACAGGGACAUCCAAAGCCCAAUAGAAAAAAUGGGCAAAGGGCAUAAACAGCUUGGAGAAAAAGACACACCAAAUAUCUUUAAAUAUAUGAAAAGAUAUUCAUCACCAUAUAUAACAAAAUAAAUGCAAAUGUGAGAUGUGAGGCGCCAUCGUACAUCAGUAAGAUUAAGAAAAAAGUCCAAAAGCUUGACACGUGCUUUGUGUGUCGGUCAGCAGAGCAAGAGACGUUCGUCACAACGCUGAGCAGUCUGUCAAAUGCUGCAGUCUCUAUGGAGGUCCGUCCGGUAGUAGUUUGCAAAAAGUUACUUUACGAUCCAAGGAGCCCACUUCUAGAACUUAAUCCUACAGAUGGAUUUAGAAAAGUUCUCGGUGAUGUAUUUACAAGUUUAUAUACUGCAGCAACCUGUAAAUGAUUGCUUCCCACACAAAGGAAUACCAGGCACUAUUUUUUUUUUUUUUUGCUCUUUUUGCCUUUUCUAGGGCUGCUCCCACGGCAUAUGGAGGUUCCCAGGCUAGGGGGUCUAAUCAGAGCCGUAGCCGCUGGCCUACACCACAGCCAAAGCCACGUCUGCAACCUGCAUACACCACUGCUCACGGCAACGCCGGAUCCUUAACCCACUGAGCAAGGCCAGGGAUUGAACCUGCAGCCUCAUGGUUCCUAGUCGGAUUCAUUAACCACUGUACCACCAUGGGAACUCCAGCCAGGCACUAUUUUAAAAGCCCAAGGUAGUUUCCAUGUAUGGAAGUGGAAAUAUAUCUAAGGCAUGCUUUUUACUGAAAAAAUAACAAAUCUCGUAAGACUGCGUAAAAAGGUAGGCCACCUUUUGUGUGUCAAGGAAGAACAAAUGUACAUUGAUAUGAGCUUAUUAUUAUCCAGGAAACACUGGAAGGAUCCUAAUAAAUUAGUAGUAAAGUGCAUUAUUUAUAGGAAGAAGGGGAAAUGAUGGAUGGGGGUGGGGUGAGAAUAAAACAUUAUACAGUUUUAAUUUUUGAAUGAUGUACAUGCAUUAUCCCCUUAAAAAUAAAAUAAAAUAUAAAACAAUAACAACAAACCAUUAGCCCCUACUUGCUAAUUCUUUUAUAUGGUCAGAGUUCUUUGGGCUGCUCUGAUGCUUAUCAUUCUGGCUUAAAUUUUUUCUUGAUUUCUUUCUUUAUUCUUUUCUUUUCUUUUUAAGUUAAGCGACUUUUUAGGGCCACACCCAGGGCAUAUGGAGGUUCCCAGGCUAGGGGUUGAAUUGGAGCUGUAGCCACUGGCCUACACCACUGCCACACAAACGCCAGAUCCGACCCACGUCUGCGAUCUACAGCACAGCUCAUGGAAACACUGGAUCCCAAAGCCACUGAGCAAGGCCAGGGAUCAAACCUGCAGCCUCAUGGAGGCUAGUCAGAUUCUGCUGAGCCAUGACUGGGACCUCCUCUCUUGAUUUCUGACAUGUGGGAUUUAAUUUUUUUCUCUCGUGAGCUGAGCUACGUAUUUAAAACUUUUAAAAGGUCAUAUCCAACCUUAAUCGUGAGUUUGCAGCAGGAGAGAUGCUUGAGUUGGUUGGCUUUCAUAUUGCUGGAGGCCCAAAGUAUCCAUGGAGUUAAGCAACCAGAAGGAUUUCUCAGAAGUCAGAGGGCAGAAGGAUUUAAACCUGCACACUCAUAAAAGGGUCCCUUGGAUGGGUGUCUAGGAGAACAAGGAGAAUAUGUACUUGGCUCCUUGCACUGAUCACCCCUUCCUGAAGAGGAGAGUAAAAACAAAAAUCAGCAUCGGCUUGUGUGUGUCAUGAAAUUCUGAAGCAGCUGUUACGACUCUUUCUCCUUGUUAAUAGGGAAGAGUCCUACUCUGUGAGCUGAGUUUCAGAUAAUGAAUGUGUUUCGCUACACACUACAUCAGAGAUCCUUUGUUCCAGAGAGCAGGUUUAGCCACAAAAAGGUUUUCAGUCUAAUUUCUAUAAAGUAUUGAACCGAGGAUGUAAGCAUGUCCCUCUUCAGACUGGGUUUUAGGAAGCGUUGAGCCCAAUGGACGGCAAGCCCCCACUUCUCAUGUAAAUACCUUUUUAGAGAAGUGUUCUUGUGGAAGGGAGAGCAGCACCACAAGAGACCUUGGGCUCCAUCGGAAACAGAGUGCUGUGGGAUCAGCACUGCUAAGUCAGCUGCUACGCAGUCCCCUGUUCAGUUCCUCAGGAUUCGUCUCAUGGAAUAAGCAGUUGUAAGUGGAGGACCUGGGAGUUCCCAUUGUGGCGCAGUGGACAUGAAGCCAACUAAUAUCUAUAAGAAUGCGGGUUCGAUCCCUGGCUUUGCUCAGUGGGUUGGGGAUCUGGCAUUGCUGUGAGCUGUGGUGUAGGCCACAGACACAGUUUGGAUCCUGCCUUGGUGUCGCCGUGGCGUAGGCUGGCAACUGCAGCUUGGAUGAGACCCCUAGCCUGAAAACUUCCAUAUGCCGUAGGCACGGCCCUAAAAAAAAGCAAAACAAAACAAGACAAACCAAUCAUGUUGCUGUGUACUAAAUUGUGUCCCACAAAAAAGGUAUGUUGAAGCCCUAACCCCAGAAAACCUGUGGACUUGAAUUUAUUUGGGUAGAGGGCUUUUACAGAUGUCAUCAAGUGAAGACAACAUCAGAGCGGAUUGGGGUGCGCCUGUUCUGACUGUUGUAGGAACUCGGUGAACAAGGGAGUAAGUCACGCAAAAACUGAGGCAGUCGUUGGAAUCAGCUGUGAGCCAAGGAAUGCCGAGGACUGCCGACAAUUAUCAGAAGCUAGGAAGAGGCAAGGAGACAUCCUCCUCUAGAGCCUUCAGAGAGCCUGGCCUUACCAGCGCUUAAAUUUUGGACUUCAGAUGUCCUGGACUGGGAGAGAACAACUUUCUGUUAUUUUGAGCCACCCAGCUUGUACUAGUUUGUUACAGCAGCCCUAGGACAUUUAAGACAAAGUCAAGAUUGUAGCUCCAUUUCUAGCUACAAUCGUCCCCUAGGGGAUGCCUAACCUUCAGAGGAAGCUGCAUGGAAUCAAGAUUUGGAGGGAACUGUGUACAGUCCCUUGGGUUAAAAUAUGAUGGAAGAUUGAGAAAAAAAAGAAUGUGUAUAUAUAUGUGCAUAUAUGUAUGUGUACACAUACACACACACGUAUGAAUAUACGCAGAUGUGGCUGGGUCACCUCACCAUGCAGCAGAAAUGGAAGGAACAUUGUAAAUCAACUGCACUUAAUAAAA